Molecule: long non-coding RNA, 768 nt
Filed under: Ananas comosus (pineapple)
Lineage: Eukaryota; Viridiplantae; Streptophyta; Magnoliopsida; Poales; Bromeliaceae
Description: long non-coding RNA (ACOM_LNC033752)
Source: RNAcentral
AAAAUGAAACCGUAAGGCACUAAAUUGAUACACUUUAAACCACAUACUACUAAAGUGAGAAAGUGUGAAACUAUAAGGCACUACAACAAAAACGGUCUAUAGCGACACUUUUAAAUGUAGGUACAUGUCAAAAAAGUGCUGCUAGCUAAAAUUACCGACACUUUUAAAAAAUGUUGCUAUAUGUGGGGUCGCUAGGUAUAUAGUGACAGUUAAAGAGUGUCGCUAUAACCUAAAAGAGUGCUGCUAAUUUACGAACACUUAUUUAAGCAUUUAGCAACCGCCGAAACUUUAUCUCGUUGGCUGCGGUGGCGGAGGAGGACGACAGGAAAGACUCUUCGUCUAGAAUUUCAGUGGAUUGAGUGAAGAGAGAAGAAAAGAUGGCAAUUGAUUUUUCAUUUUUUUUUCUUUUCUGUUUGUAAUCGGGCCAAAUGGACUGGGUGUGGUGGGGUGAGUAGAGUAAUCUUUUAUUUUUGGUUGGAUUGAGCUUUAUAUUUAGGCAUUAGCAGAUAUUUUUUUAAGUUUUAGCAUAAAUGGGACACUUACUCAAAAGUGUCCCAAAUAUGUGUCCCUAUAACCUAAUUCUGUUGUAGUGAGGGUGGUGUUUGAAAUUUUUCCAGUUUUUAUUAAUUAUAUAAUUAUUUUGAUCACAUAUGGUGCGCGUAAUUUUGCAAAGCUUCAAAUUAUAAAAUUUUGUUUUUUUCCUCUUAUUUUGAUAAUUACGCAUAAAAUUUGAAGAAUAAGUUAGAUUUUUAUUAUUUUUAUUUGUAU